UUUAUAAUUUUUUUUUUUUUUUUAUAUUAUAUAUAUUUUAUUAUAUUUGAUUUUUCUUUUUUUACUUAUAAAGAUAGAAAAAAAAGAAAAAACAAAAAUAUAUGAAAAUUGUAUUAUUUUAAUCUUUUACUAUAUUAUUAUAUAUUGUUAUGUAUAUAUAAUAAUAUAAGUAGGAAAAAUAAAGGAUGGGAAGAAUCCUUUUAAUAUUUUGUUUAUUUGUUUCUUCUUUUUUGUUUUAAUUCUUUUAAAAUUUAUGAAAGAGAAGAUGUAAUAUAUGUAUAAGUUAAAUAUAUAUAUAAUAUUUAUAUAGAAUUAUCCACAUUAAACUUUAUUUCUUUCUUUUUUUUUUUUUUUUUUUAUUGUUAUAUUGGAAAUUUAUACGGUGCGUACUAUAUUAAAUUGUAUGUGUACAACAUGAAAUUCAUUGUAUUAUAUAUAUAUAUAUAUAUAUAUGAAUAUAAUUUAAAUAUAUAAAAUAUAAUUAUUAUAUAUAUGAAGGGGAAAAAAAAAAAAAAAAUACACAUGGAAACACAAAAUAAAUAAAUUGUAAUAAAUUGUUAAUAUAUAUAUAUAUAUUUAUAUAAUAUUUCUGUAAUUUGUUUUAGAAUAAAAAGAAAUGAGAAAAUUACAAAUGCAGAAAUUUUUUGAAAUAAAUAUAUAGAAAGUGUAAAGCUUAUUAAUAUCAUAUAAUUUUAAGUAACAUAUAAUCAUAUAUAUAUAUAUAUAUAUAUAUAUAUAUAUAUAUAUACAUUUCAAAUUAAAUAAAUAAAUGUAGAAAAUAUGUCUAAUAUAACAUCAUUUAUUUGUCUAUAAAUUUUUGAAAUAUUUAUCCUUUAUAUAUAUAUAUAUAUAUAUAUAUAUAUAUAUAUAUAUAUAUAUUUAUUUAUUUAUUUAUUUUAUUUUUUUAAGGAGAAUUAAUAAGUAUGUACCUUUUAUAAAAUGCAUAUAAUAAAGAGAAAAAAAUAUACUUGUACAAAAUGGUAAACAUUAAAUUGUAAAAGGUCAUGUUUUUUUUUUACCCUUUACAUAUUUUAUAAAAUUGAAAAAAAAAAAGAAAAGGAAAAAAAUAUACAUUAUUUAUAGAAACUAAGAAAAGAGGAAUCUCCUUUAAAAAUAUAAAUAAGUAGUAAGAAUUAUAAAUAUAAUGUUAUGUUAAUAUAUAUAUAUAUAUGCAAAUUGUUAUAUAUUCGUAUACAUCAGUCAUUUUACCUCUUUUCUUUUCUGUUCACUUACAUUGUAAUAUAAAGAAAAAAGAAAAAAAAGAGGAAACCAAAAAAUUAUAUAACUAUAUAAUUUUUAUACAAAUAUAAGUAAUAUAUAUAUGUUCAUAAACCGGAUAACAAUAUUUAAAUAUGCACUUUGACUUGUUGGUUUAUAUAAAUUUCGUUAUUUAUUUAUUAUUUUUUUUUUUUUUGCGUAACCAUAUUUAGAAUAUGUGUAUUGUGUGUGUCUAUAUAGAUCAUUUUAUUAAAUGAUAUAUAAUUUUAAAAUAUUUUAUUAUAAAAAGAUUAAACCUCUAUUAAAAAAGACAAAAGAAUAUAUACAAAUAAAUAUAUAUACAUAUGUAUUUAUAUAUAUAUAUAUAUAUAUAUAUAUAUAUAUAUAUAUAUAUAUAUUUUUUUUUUUUUUUUUUUUGCUUCUCUUUCCUUUUUGGUAUAUAAUAUUUUAACAUUAUGUAGGGGAAAAAAAAAAAAAAUAAUUACGUAAUAUAUAAUAUAUCAAUAUAUGUAAUAAAACUCAUUUUAUUAUUUUAAAUGUAUUUAUCUAUCUUUGUCUCAGAAAAUCAGAUUUGUUAAUAUAUUAAUAAAGUAUAUUUUGCGUCUUAUUUAUUUUAUAUUUUGUUUUUUUAUAAAGCACAAAAGAUAAUGUUCAUCCAUAUAGAAAAGACCACAUUUUUAAGCAUAAGCAUAAAAGCAUUAUUAUUUAAUGGUAUUAUCAUAUAUAAGCAACUUAUUAUUUACAGAAAAAAAAAAAAAAAAAAAAAAAAAAAAAAAGCAUUACUUUUAUACUUUUUUAUUAAUAUAUAUAUAGAUAUAUUAUAAAUACAUGUUAUACAUAUUCUAUAUGUACGAAAUAAGGAAAAAUAUUAGGUACAUAAAUUUUUAUAUACAAAUUUAUUUAUGUACACAAAAAAAAAAAAAAAAAAAAAAAAUAUAUUAAUUUCCGUAAUAUAAUAAAAGUACAGUAAAAAUGUGGUGUACGUACAAUUUAUGAAUACUACCCUUUUCUAAUUUAUAAAAGAAAUAAAUAAAAACAAAAAAAUAAAUAAUAUAAAUAAAUAAUAACAUAAUAACAUACAAUGGAAAAUAUUCAUUUUUAUAUUUCAAUAAUUUUCCCCUAUGAAACAAACCAAAAUAUGCAUAUUUAUAUAAAAUAAUACAUAUUUUUUUGUUCUUUUUAGAAAUAUAUAAAAUACAUAUUAUUAUAUAUAUCUUUUGUAGUACACCCUUAAUAGCUAUUAUCAUGCAUAUAAAGAAAAAUAAAUUACUGUAUAAAAAGAUAUAUGUACAUAUACAAUAUAUUAUUCUUGUAUUUUUAUAUUUAAAAUAAUAUAAAUAUAUGGUUCAAAUAUAUUAUGAUCCUUAAUUUUACUUUAUAUAAUUUUAAAAGGAUAAAUUUAUUUAUUUAAUAAUCUUCCUUUUUAUCGAGCUCACAUAAAUAUAAAUAAAUAAAUAAAUAAAUAUAUAUAUAUAUAUAUAUAUAUAUAUUAUGUAUGAUUAUAAAAUCUGAAAUAUUAUAUUAUGUUUUAUUAUAUUAUAAAUAUAUAAUAAUUUAAAAAAAGCACUUGCUUUUUAUAUAUUAAUAAAUAUAAAUACAUACAUUUUUCAUAUUUUUUUAUUAUGUUUUACAAUAAUACAUAUAAAAAAAAAAAAAAGAAAAAUUUAUAUAUAAUUGUUAGUUUUAUAUAAUAUGCCUUAAAUUUUUUUUUUACGUAUUUUUAAAUGGAACAAAAUCGUCUCAAAAGAAAAAAAAAAAAGAAAAGAAAAGA
Molecule: small RNA, 2989 nt
Filed under: Plasmodium reichenowi
Lineage: Eukaryota; Apicomplexa; Aconoidasida; Haemosporida; Plasmodiidae
Source: RNAcentral